This is a non-coding RNA of Saccharata proteae CBS 121410, 106 nucleotides long. Lineage: Eukaryota; Fungi; Ascomycota; Dothideomycetes; Botryosphaeriales; Saccharataceae. The record is from the annotation of a GenBank genome assembly.
GUCGAGGUGGUGUAGUUGGUUAUCACGUCUGUCUAACAGGUUCCCUCCUCCUUGAGAAGGGUGUCCAGUUCACAGAAGGUCCCGAGUUCAAGUCUCGGCUUCGAUA